UACAGAGGGGGGCAAGCGUUGUUCGGAAUUACUGGGCGUAAAGGGCGCGUAGGCGGCCUUCUAAGUCGAACGUGAAAUCCCCGGGCUCAACCCGGGAACUGCGUCCGAUACUGGAAGGCUUGAAUCCGGGAGAGGGAUGCGGAAUUCCAGGUGUAGCGGUGAAAUGCGUAGAUAUCUGGAGGAACACCGGUGGCGAAGGCGGCAUCCUGGACCAACACUGACGCUGAGGAGCGAAAGCGUGGGGAGCGAACAGG
This 254-nucleotide ribosomal RNA is filed under the name uncultured bacterium. RNAcentral's name for it is "partial 16S ribosomal RNA". It matches the Rfam family "Bacterial small subunit ribosomal RNA", at positions 524 to 776 of the family's 1533-position model. The record is from RNAcentral.